CUCGGCAGUGCUUAGCCGUCGUCGUCCCGGUCGUGUUGGAGGACGACGAGCAGCUCUACUGAAGACAAGUGUUGCUGCGCCACAGUUCAGCUGAGGAAGUUUGUCAACUGCCAAGUGUACAUAUGUACAUACUUCUGUGGUUAAUCAGGGCAGCGUGCAACGGGACGACCACUUGCAAGUCAACACUCGCCGGAGCUGAACUGGGUGCGGACCUCACACUGGAUGAUUCCGACUAGUUGGUGUCAAACUGGUCAGUUGCUACCACCUCGUUUGCUCCUCCGCGGGCCGUUACCGCCAUAUGAAGCAGAGUAUUCAUCUACAGUAUUAUGCAAAGAAUCAUAAUGUACUGCUCUCCAUGACGCGGUGUGAAACGCAGAGGCGAAAGUAGAGGGCUGGAAACGGCGCAGACAAGAGCACUCUGGAUGCCGUACCCGCCGCGCAAAAGCUGUAUGGCUUGGCCCAUGUGGCGGGACGACCACCUCAGAGGACAAAAAAUACUGAGUCAGGAAGGAAACCCAUCCUGGCGACCCUGGGCGUAGGUCCCCCCCCCCCCCCCCCCCCCCCCCCCCCCC
Molecule: RNA transcript, 572 nt
Organism: Procambarus clarkii (red swamp crayfish)
Lineage: Eukaryota; Metazoa; Arthropoda; Malacostraca; Decapoda; Cambaridae
Source: RefSeq, a predicted model, not a curated record